Molecule: ribosomal RNA, 497 nt
Filed under: uncultured bacterium
Lineage: Bacteria
Description: partial 16S ribosomal RNA
Rfam family: Bacterial small subunit ribosomal RNA
Source: RNAcentral
GACGAACGCUGGCGGCGUGCCUAAUACAUGCAAGUAGAACGCUGAAGAGAGGAGCUUGCUCUUCUUGGAUGAGUUGCGAACGGGUGAGUAACGCGUAGGUAACCUGCCUUGUAGCGGGGGAUAACUAUUGGAAACGAUAGCUAAUACCGCAUAACAAUGGAUGACACAUGUCAUUUAUUUGAAAGGGGCAAUUGCUUCACUACAAGAUGGACCUGCGUUGUAUUAGCUAGUAGGUGAGGUAAUGGCUCACCUAGGCGACGAUACAUAGCCGACCUGAGAGGGUGAUCGGCCACACUGGGACUGAGACACGGCCCAGACUCCUACGGGAGGCAGCAGUAGGGAAUCUUCGGCAAUGGGGGCAACCCUGACCGAGCAACGCCGCGUGAGUGAAGAAGGUUUUCGGAUCGUAAAGCUCUGUUGUAAGUCAAGAACGGGUGUGAGAGUGGAAAGUUCACACUGUGACGGUAGCUUACCAGAAAGGGACGGCUAACUACGUG